Molecule: ribosomal RNA, 253 nt
Filed under: uncultured bacterium
Lineage: Bacteria
Description: partial 16S ribosomal RNA
Rfam family: Bacterial small subunit ribosomal RNA
Source: RNAcentral
CACGUAGGGACCAAGCGUUGUCCGGAAUUAUUGGGCGUAAAGAGUUCGUAGGUGGUUAUCUAAGUCUGGUGUUAAAGACGGGAGCUCAACUCCCGCAUGGCAUCGGAAACUGGAUGGCUAGAGUGUGAAGGAGGUAACUGGAAUUCCUGGUGUAGCGGUGAAAUGCGCAGAUAUCAGGAGGAACACCGGUGGCGAAGGCGGCUAUCUGGACAGAAACUGACGCUGAGGCGCGAAAGCUAGGGGAGCAAACAGG